AUAAAAACGUAUUUUCUUGUCCCAGCCACUUAAAAAAAAAUGUGUUUGAUCUUUGCAAGUAAUUUUUUGUGCAGUCAGUACAUUGAAUUGGAUUUAACAUUUUUAAGCAAAGAAACAGUUUAUUUUUAGAGGGAUUGAUAAGAUAUUGACUCCUGAAUGGUCCAAAACAACCAAAAUGGCAUGUCCCUAGACCGCCUGUUCAACAUUCAUACUCUAAAAUAUCGUAAAAAAAUGAAGAAAUAAAUGUUUUUUUUACUUUACAUAAGUUCUUUAAUAAUUCAAAAGUAUGUUCAGAGCCAACAUAUUUUAAUAAACAGCUUUCAAUAUAGGUUUUUUAAUUUCAGAAGGUGUGUCCCUCACAAAAUGUCCACUACGAAACGAAGUCAUUAAAAUUUGCCAAUAAACAGUUUUAUAAAAUCAAUGUAAUUUUUGUUUGCAAGAGAUAUAAACAUUAGGGUCUUACAAAAGAAGUGAUGCUUUUAUAACGGCAAUUAAAUUGUUGGUAAGAAAAAUUGAGCACAUCAAAUGGACCAGAGUGAUACCGUAUUUUUGAUAAUGUCCACUACGAAACGGGUCAAAUCUCCUUCAGUAUCUGGUUUUAAAAUUAUGAAAAAAAUAUCAGUGUACAGCUUGAUAAAUGCUUUGAUGAAUACAAUCAGUCUUGUUACUAUUGCAAUAUAGGGAUUGUGGGAAAAAAAUAAAACAUGCGAAUACGUCCCUUACGAAACGGUCCCCUACGAAACAAGUAUGGGAGAAAAACGUUUCGUAGUGGACACUACCACUACCAUGCAGUCUUUUUUUAAAUCUUUUUUCAAUUAUAUUCGUGCAAAACAAAUAACAAGGGUUAGUUUCAUGUAAUUUUUAUUAUGUUUUUAUUAACAUAUAAUAGGGUUGAUGUCAACUACGAAACUUUUUGUCCACUACGAAACGGUUUUUUGUCCACUACGAAACGCAUCAAAAUGUCCACUACGUAACAUGAGUUGAACCUUCAUAUGUGAAGUACUGUCUAAUCUUUAUCGAUAAAAAUGGUUUUUCUAAUUCAGAAAAAAAAAUGAUAUUUUUCUAGUAUUUAAAGUAAACAAACUGGAAUGUCUAUAGGAAACAUUUAAAAUUGCAAAAAAUAUGUGUGUUUAGAAGAAGUUUCGUAGGGGACAAAAGUCCCCUACGAAACAGUACACAAAUUAUGAAAAUAAUAUCAUUUUAAAGAAUAUUUAAGAUUGCACUUUUUGUUUACAAACAGGUCUAUUAUAGAGGUAUUCAAAAUAACUCUUGAAAUUAAAUUUUAGACAAGUUGAUUUUCCAUUUUUUUAGGUCUGAAAAUAACGCUUUUAUUGAAAAACGCCC
Molecule: long non-coding RNA, 1344 nt
Filed under: Mytilus galloprovincialis (Mediterranean mussel)
Lineage: Eukaryota; Metazoa; Mollusca; Bivalvia; Mytilida; Mytilidae
Source: RNAcentral